RNAcentral lists this long non-coding RNA (599 nucleotides) under Vigna radiata. Its description in RNAcentral is "long non-coding RNA (VRAD_LNC014604)". The record is from RNAcentral. Lineage: Eukaryota; Viridiplantae; Streptophyta; Magnoliopsida; Fabales; Fabaceae.
CUGAUGAAGAAGAGAAAGAUUAAAAUCUAUUGAAGGAUGUUCAUGAGAAAGAUUUGCAUCUACUGAUGGAUGCUGGAAGAGUUUGAGAGAGCAUCUACUGAUGGAUGCUUCUAUGGAAGAGAAUGCUAACUAGGCAUCUAUUGAUGGAUGUUAGAUGAUUAGGCAUCUAUUGAUGGGUGUUAUGAUGAUGAACUUAUUGGGUCAAGCUAGUGACGAUAAAGAAGCGCUUGUUGGGAGGCAACCCAGUGCUUUGAACCUUUACUUUUUAAUUUUUAAUUUUUCUUUUUUUUUGGUUUUAAUGUGUGUUUUCUUUUAUUUUGUUUAUUGUGACCUGCUUCAAUGAACUAAACUGCUUUGAUUCAACUGUGCUCUGUUUUGUGUGAUAAUUUUGCUUUUUGAAAAUUAUAGUGUUUGAUUAAAGUUAGGAUGAUGCAUGAUGAUAAAUUUGUGAAACAGGUGCUUGAGAUAAAGUUUGAUUAAAAUACUAAGCAGGUUGUUUUUCUGAUUUUGAGAACUUGUGAGUUUACCUGUGUGAGUUUUCAGCUUCAGAGUUGUUCUUAAAUAAGUAUUGUUACUCUGAAAACAUGAAUGAUUUUGCC